UGAAAGAGCUCAGAUUACACCAUAGGUUGUGUGGUGGAAAAAAAGGGGGGGAAAAAAAGGGGGGAGGAAAAUCCCAUCUUUUUCAGAAAUAUUUUAAUGCUCCCCCUAAUAGUCCUAGGAGUACCUGCCUCCUUUCACAUUCUGUGAUUUUCCCGCAGAGGAAGCACCGACCAAGAAAUUCUUCUGUACACCCCACCAAACCAAACCCAUUCCAAGGCUGGUCAGAGGUGUUCACUACAAGGAACUGGAGAAAACAGGAUGUUUUGCUUCUCUCCCAGGCCUGUGCUCUACCAGUCUGACCUGCUUAUCCUCCUUUCCUUUUCUGCUAUUCAGGAACCAGGUUGUGCCGUUUAAUUUAUUCCUACACUUUUCACCUUGCCUUUAUGUCAGUGCUGGAGGUUUAUAAAUCCUUAAAAAAAAAAAAAAGGCAUAAAGAGCAACAUCAGGAUGAGAACCAGUUUUAACUUCCCAGGUGCAGUUCACCUGGCUGCUUUCCAGAGCCAGUAAUUCAGUAAUUGCUUCAGGACUCACUGCAUAAAAGUGACCAGAAAUAGGACCCCUUCUAGCCAUGAGUAAUUUUAACAGCAUUUUGCAGAGCAGUGUUUCAAAAUGCUUUACGUUGUCCCAAUCUCAUGAGUGAAAAACUGAGUCACCAGAAGGUUUAAAUGUGCUAUCAGACCAGACAGUGGGCUUGGACAUCAUUUUCUGACUUCCAGUCCUGUCCUUUGAUCCCAGGAUUUCUUCAGUGCAUUCAAGCAUAUCAUUUCUGUUCAUUGUCCCACGUGUAUUACUUGUGUCAGGAUGAAUCACAUCUCUGUACACAUGGCGUAAAACUGUAAGUCAGCUCUUACAUAUUUAUUUAUUUAUUAUAUUUUUGAAGUGCCUGGUGGCCUAGCAUCCAUCCAGCAGCAUCCAACAGCAUCCUAGCAACAACUCUUGCCACACAAAGUUGAUCAUUCUGUCAUGUUUAUUGUGUUCCAUAAACAGAUUUUGUUUCAGUCUCGGGGAAGAUGAGCUUGAAAUAGUUUACUUUAUAAAAUCUUGACAGUUUAAAAAUUUCUUAAAGCUGGAUACUGUUUGGUAUGUUGUUGAAAUGAUAGAAAGUCCUCUCUGGUGCAAGUUGCUUGACACAAUAAUAGAUUAUAGCUUUUUCAAGUGUGCUUUGAAGGCCAUAUGAGACAGAGUAAAAAGCCUCAAGGCUCGUUGCAGGUUCGCAGCUGGAUUUUCCAGCAGGCUCCCGAGUGUCACUCACGUGGCAGGUUCCAUGAUAACCCAGCUCCUGACUGUCUGAGAGCCCUUUCCAGCAUGGCAGUGCUGUGGGGCACAAGGUAACGUGCUCACAGGGGAGAGGGUUCCAGCUGCCUGCUCAGGGUUUCACAGGGAAUCUCAGGAGCUCCUGCAGGAAGCCUGGACAUCUGUGAAUGGCCUUGGUUCCCUGCAGGGCCUCUCCAGGUGAGUUCCCUCUGUGCUGUCCCUGCUGUGAGCUGGGUGUGAGCUGUGACCCAGUCACACCUCAGCAACCUCAACAAGCCCUGCACCAGUGCCAACAGUGUCCCUGCAUCCAGCUCAACAGUGAGACAGACCAGAUAAAACCUGCCCAGCUCACAGGAACAGAGACAUGCUUGCACUGAAGCAGCUGCUAAAUCAAAACAAGCAGCUGAGAAAGGAAUUCUGCAGUUCCUCCAUUUUCUCCAUGCUGUAGGUUUGUUAGGGCUGUUUAUGAAACAAUAUAGCCACGGCGUUAAAAGAAAGAAGAAAAUAAAAAUCUUCAUUUUAGUUACACUACUCAAAAAAUACCUGUACCAAAACAUAGGGAUUAAACAAAGCAACACAAAGUCAUAAUUAAGGCCAGUGCCGGAAUUCAUUUUAGCAGAUUAAGCUGUAUUUGAAAAGCAGUUACAAGCUGAGUGAUCCUUGACUAACUUGAACUCUACAUGUGUCCAAUGAUUUACCCUAUGCUGGUGUUUUUCUCAAGGGCAACAAGUACACAUCUUGCAUAAGUACCCAAAAGAGUCUACUUCAGCACAUUUAAAAUCUCUUGCAUUCAAGAAUAAAUUCUCCUGCAACAAUACAGGAGGAGGAGCUGAAUGGCUUUUGUACUUUCUAGAAAUUUAUGCUUUUCUAACAUUUUAUUGACUAAUCAAACAUUCUCCUACAAUGAAAAAUUACAAACAUCAGCAAUUUAAAACACUGUCUGUGAAAAGGACAAUAUCAACUAUGCAUUUAAAUGUCAUGCCAGCUGCAAAAGAAGCCUAGAAUACUUUUUCCUCUUUCUAAGGUACUACCAGAAUGUCAUUGUGUAUUCUCUGGUGAAAUCUCUAAUCAAUUUUACAGUAUAAAGGGGGCAGGGAGGAGAUGGCUGCACUAAAUUAAAACAAUUAAAAACUGUGUAGGGAAUUAUCUUGAGGGACUGAGAGCAUGGUUUUCACACGUAAAUGAGUGCCACUCUGCAUUCAGCCUGAGUCAGUGAGGAAGGAGAGAGAAACCUCAUGGGCUGGGAGCUGGCUGGGGGCUGGCCUUCCAACCCCAACCAUUUUGUGAUUCUGUGAAAGGCAAAGAAAGGUGCCAAAGAGGGGAGAUGAGAGACAGAAGGGAAAGAGCAGGAAAUUGUUGAAAUUCUGUGUCAAUGGGAGAAGAAAUUGCUACACUGGUUUAUGUGUGUUCCUCACAAAACACCAUUCCCAGCAACUUUCUUGGUAGUUUCAAGGAGUCAAGGGCUACAAAACCAGAAAUGAUGCAAAAGUUGCACUGCAUUCUUGUGCUUAUGACCAGCUCCUUUCCAUGAAAUGGGCAGAUGACCAGGAGGACUCUGGCCAGCACCACAACACCCUUUCCAUAAGCAUUCCAGCUGCUGUGCUGAGGCCCAUGUGUCCAGUCUGGAUGCUCUUUGGUGCCCCUGUGAGCACCUUCUCUCCAGGUCUCACUCCCCACCUUGUCCAAAUCCCAUUUCCUACACAAUUAAGGUUAAUGUGACCAGAUUUUGUAUCUGCCCUCCAUUACUGAUUCAAGAAGGAGCAACUUUAGAAUUUCACCAGGUCGUUAAAUACCAAGGAUAGUUUUAAAUCCUGUCAUUGGGAAUUACUGAACAGGCAGAGCCUACAAUCUGUAGGUCAUCAUCUCGGGCUGCAUUUGAAAGCCCUACAGAUUACUAUUAUUAUUGUUUCCAGGAUUAUUUCAUUAUUCACCUUAGAGGUUUUAUUUACCUCAAGGCAUUGGUUCUCAGGGGCUGGCAAAAGGAGUAUCGUGGGCACAAGAGAAGAACAGCUCAGAGCAGCCUGAUAUUUAAUCAUAGGUUGGAAAUAUCUUUUACAGACUUGUCUGUUUGCAACUGUCACUAAGCAUAGACAAUUACUAAAUUAGUCAGCUUCAUUUAUAUUUUUCUUAAGGGAGAUCUUGGAACAUUAGUUGCAUUACAUUUCAGGUUUAAGGAUAAUAAAGCUAUGCAUUCCUCUUGGGAAAGUAAAACAAUAUUAUGAUUAAAAAAUAAAUAAAAUAUAACAAAACUAUUGCAACUAUACCAAAGGUAAAGGGCUAAACUUUGCCCAAUUCUCUUCUUCCCUUCCACAGGGCUCCAGAGCUCUACAGCCACAGGAAGCACUGCUGGGGAGGAGGAUUGCUUCCCUGGCUCCCGCAGCUUGGACACCAGCAUGAGGCAAUCAGGAGGGUAAUCAAGGAGAAAGGUAUACAGGAAUUGCCACAGGAACAUUGUGUCUUACUAGGAGUUCCCAGCGCUACUGAAAUUCAGAGUCUGUGUUUUCUCAAAACAUCUUGAAAGAGAGCUGAAGUGAAAUAAUCUUUCUGGCCCCCACCAGCAACAGCUUACAGUGGGAAGCAACAGUGGGAAGCCAUUAAAAUGUAGUUAUUGAUGUUGCUAUCAAAAUGUAUUACUAAGAGAAAGGCUCAAAGCUGUCCACUGAUCUUUUUACCAUGACUCUGUGACAAAAAAGCUUCCAAAGCAUUCAGUGAACGCUGACCUCCCUGCUUACCUUGGCAAGUAUUUCUUUCCCACUGUCUUUGGGCUCAGGAAGCUCCAAGUGGUAAAAACCAACAGGUACACAGAGGCAGGAGUGCAGAAGGAAUGUUGGAAGGGUAGAUGGACUGAUGCUGUCCUCUGAUGGAUUCGUUGCCCAGGUUCAUGUGUUUAUACAAAACCUGCAAUGCUGUCCACAGCCUCUCAUAGCAGUGGAAUUGCUGAGAGAGCAGCUCUGGGCCAAGCACUUCCAGUUCAGUCAAUCUCUGCCUUCCUUUGCUUUGCCAAGCUGCACAGAGUCAUUGCUUCAAGGUCAGUUUCUGUGUGCUUCAUAAAGUGUCCCCAAACCAGCUCUGACACAGCCUGAGUCAGAUCUUUCCUACAGGGCAGCACCACAGUGUGAAGAAGGAAGUAGAACAAACCCAAAUAUCUGAACCUUCAGAAGCUACUUUAAGGAAAAAAAAAAGAAAAAAAAAA
Non-coding RNA from Zonotrichia albicollis (white-throated sparrow), 4447 nucleotides. The record is from RefSeq and is a predicted model, not a curated record. NCBI's taxonomy places the organism in Eukaryota, Metazoa, Chordata, Aves, Passeriformes, Passerellidae.